UGGUGCUGCUUUCUCUGUUUAUCCACUUCAUAUGUAUUUAUGCCUGUCUUUUUCAUUUUCAUUUGUUUUUUUCUGUUUCUGGUCAUAUUUUGGUUGUAUGUGCCUUUUCGAAUUGGUUUAUUCGUUACCACACUAAAAAAAUUUGUGUUUGAGUGGUUUGUGUAAAUGAAAUGAAAACAAAAAACAAUCCAAAAGUAGAACUGAAUUUUAGGAUAUUUGUUUAUUGUGUGUUGGCGUGUAGUGUACUUGUUGUAAGUUUGAUGGUGAGAGUCUAAGGGACUACAAAAUUUCUCUCACUUCUUGUCCGAGGUUAUACGUUUUAACCCACAAAGACAUUUAAACAUUUAGGCCUAAAAAAUUCUUCUUUUUUUUCCCAUAAAGAAACUCAUUUUUAUUUAAUUUUUUAAAUAAAAUUUCUUUAAAAUAAACUAAUCUUCUCUAAAAUAAUCUAUAUUUUAAUUAAGCACUUAAAUUUGUAUAUCGAAUGCACCUUUAGUUUGAAUGAAAGAUGGUUAACACUUGAACUAAUAAUUGUCCUAAUUCUAAUUAUAAUGGUGGGGUAUAAAUGCACCAAGUGAUGAAUUUAAAAUGGAAUUAUAAUGGUGGGGUAUAAAUUGACUCACUUAUUGUACUUUUUAGUUAGAUUCACUUCUUUGUUUCUAAGAGAAAAUAUCCAAAAUGUUUUCUGCAUGUGAUUAUAAAGUUUGUAUACGAUUAUCAUCGAGUCAAACACAAAAGUUACAAAACUAUUGUUGAAGCAAAGUGCCAGUUGGCAACAAAUAUUGACAGCAUUUCAACGCUAUUUGCACGUGAUUAUAAUCUCCACUUCGACCACUAGGUCAUAUCUUUUCAUCUAUGUGACUGUUUGGGCAAACGAUCACUUUUUUUUUUCAAUUUUUCGUCCUCUUUUCAUCUACAACUUUAGUUUCAGAUUUUUUUAUUGAAUAUUUCUUUAUAAUUGAGGUGAAAGAUGAUUGGUUUUAGUUUUCUCAUCUCAAUAGGAAGGUAAGGAUCCUAAAUUCUAGUUUUUGAGGUUUUCUCUAACUUAGACGAAAAGCGUAUUGAGCAUCUAAUUAGGUGUUUUUUUUACUUUUUCAUUUUAUAAACUCUUCCAAUCUUGAUGUGGUUAUUAGUUAAAUUGAUUAGUAUGUGUUUCAUCUAAUCCAAUUGUCUAAUUAGAUAAUUUGAAAUCUCACUUAGUGUUUCUAGGUGCAUUGGCGGAGCUUAGACGAUAUACAACUUAAUUUGAUAAAUCUAUGAUCAAGCAAACAAUUGGGGAUACCUCUAAAAACUUGGACAGACCACUUUUACUUUUCCUUCAAUUUACAUUUCACAUUUUAUUCUUCUAGCAGACUACAAAGAAACUCCUCAUUUAUCACUUUAAAUAAAGAAUCAAAUUUAAGAAACUAAUCUUCCUACUUCUCUGCAGAUUGAUUUGGUCUUGCUAUUAAUUGCUUAGUAGAUGUUCAUGGUUAGUAAAAAAUAUGUAUUUUAUCAACAGGAGGUCUCGAUCGUCACACCCCAUCCCGAGCACCUACUUGCUCGACCCGAGGUGUGGUGUGAAGCCAACUGAUGUCACUCCCUUUCUGAACAACACCAGUUGACACUGACUACUAAUGUUUUACAAUGCUAAACAACUUAAGUAAUUUAAGACUUAUGCAUCGAAAACUAAGUGAAACAAACUUCUUAUAUUUUAAAAGUAGUCGAGGCUAGAUGUCAUUGAUUACAAAACUUUACUUACAAACCAAACAGAAACUAAACAACUGCAUUUAACCUUAUACAAAACCAUGUACAUGAUAAUGUUUAAACUAAAACUAAUCCUUAGUAACUAAACUAUUCACAAAUUUUGCAUAGUAGACAUGAAGACAAUGAUCAGGCUUGCGGAUCACAACCUAUACCUAGAAAGUGGAGAAAACAUUUGGAAAUGGUGAACUAAAAUAGCCCAUUAAAUGAUGAUUUUAUUAAAAGCAUACUUUCUAAAACAAUUUAGUUCUAAACUUUAUUUUUAGCAUUAUUAAAUCAAUUUACUUCUAUACCAUAUGAAACACAAAGUGAACCCUUUGAUGACCUGUUAUAACUAUAAUGAGGUGGGUAACCUAUAAAUAUCAUAUUUGAAAAACUCUCUUCUCAUAAAUCUAUCAUAGUGAUAGCAUACAUAAGUAUCUACUGAAUACCUCUAUCAUAGGAACCUUUGUGCAUAGGCCAUAUCACCCGAAGGGUUGCUAUAUACAUAUCUAUCAUAGGUGUAGUCUACAACAUUCUAAAAUCAUUCUUUACUUAAAUUCUUAUCAUAAAAUAUACUUAACAAAAUUUCAAAUAUCAUGCAUUGGAAACAUUUUGCUGAAUCAGUAAACUCAAGUAAUUCAUACAUCAAAGCAUGCUUGAAACAUUUGAUAAAUAAUUAGAUUCAGAAAUCAACUUUAAAUUCAUUUUAUCACUCACUGAUAGUAGUUUAGACCCUUGGUCUAUAAAUUUGUUUGAUCUUCUCUUGACUUGAAAUAACGGAAAAUAAUUCUAUUUAAUUCUCUUUUAUCAUAAAAAUAUAAGAACUUUACUUAAAAUUUCUCAAAAUACCAAAAACGGGUCGUAGGGUUAUUGUAAAUCUUAAGAUAUCUCAUGUAUAAACUAAAACACGCUAAAUAAAUCUCAUGCUUUAAAACAUUAUCUUACACUAGAACAACAUGUUUAUAUAAAUCUGUUGCAUAUAACAAGUUUCAAACCUGAAAAUCAAGCUUUUCUUAAAUGAAUCUUAAACUUAAACAUUUAAAAAACUUACCAUAAUCAUGCUUGUCCAUAAAUUUCAAGUUUAAAGAAAUAGGUUAAUGACAUCAACAAACUCACAUGAAACACAUGUUUUUCAAAUUCAUUCUAAACUUUAAACAGCUUUCGAAAUAAUUUUCAAACUAGGUAUAGCUCAAUUAUUUUAACUCAACUUAUAAAUUUGUUCAAUCUCCUACUGACCUAAAAUUAGAGAAUUUAAAUCUAAUUUAAUCCUCUAAGUUUAGAAAUUACCAAAUUUAACUCAAAAAUUGGAAAAACUCCAAAAACAACUAAAAAUGGCAUUUAGGCAUGGGUUGGAGUUGGGCUUGGGUGACAGACAACACGAGUGGGUGCAGGCCCUUUAGCAUGUCUGGCCGUGUGCUAACCUCACAACCCUUUGUUGUGCGCCCAUGGUUGCAUAACCCCACACUGCGUUUUGAUGCUUCUAUGCGCACAUGGCCUAUUGCACGACCUUAGCAUGCACCUCACGUCGCCUGGUUGUGCACUUGUCAUGUUAAGCGUGCUUAAAACUCUAAAAUAACUUCUUUACCUUGCAAAUGCACGUAGCACCACACUUAACCUCCUAACACUUGGCCAACCAUCAAACCUUGCCUAGAAAACGUCUAAAUGAUUCCAAAAUCUAACUUCAACUUCCCAAGCUCAUAACUUUUAAACUAGGAAUCAAAAUGGAAAAGUUCCUAUUUCAAAGAUGCUUACAAUUUUCCUAACUAUCUUACCUUCAAAUUUCAGCUUGAAAUUCAAAGUAAUUGAUAAGACAAUCGUAAUCCUCAAUCCAAAGAUCCAAGCUAUUAACGUAGCAAGAACCUUUGAAAUAAGAAACUAACACCUCCUUAUAUUAAUUUAGAUCAACCAAGAGAAAGUUAGGAUUACAUUACCUCUUAGAUCAAAGAUCUAGAAGCAAGAUUUGAAAAUCUUGUUCUAAAUUGAGUCACUCCACAAUCAAACUUGCAUUCA
RNAcentral lists this long non-coding RNA (3735 nucleotides) under Cucumis sativus (cucumber). Its description in RNAcentral is "long non-coding RNA (CSAT_LNC000996)". The record is from RNAcentral. Lineage: Eukaryota; Viridiplantae; Streptophyta; Magnoliopsida; Cucurbitales; Cucurbitaceae.